This 253-nucleotide ribosomal RNA is filed under the name uncultured bacterium. Its description in RNAcentral is "partial 16S ribosomal RNA". It matches the Rfam family "Bacterial small subunit ribosomal RNA", at positions 524 to 776 of the family's 1533-position model. The record is from RNAcentral.
UACGGGGGGGGCAAGCGUUGUUCGGAAUUACUGGGUGUAAAGGGCUCGUAGGUGGCCAACUAAGUCACACGUGAAAUCCCUCGGCUUAACCGGGGAACUGCGUGUGAUACUGGAUGGCUUGAGUUUGGGAGAGGGAUGCGGAAUUCCAGGUGUAGCGGUGAAAUGCGCAGAUAUCAGGAGGAACACCCGUGGCGAAGGCGGCUCUCUGGGACGGUACUGACGCUGAGACGCGAAAGCGUGGGGAGCGAACAGG